CUCGCGCGGUCGCGCCCCCUUCCCCCUUCCCCCGUCCUCCCGCAUUCCAGCCUCCACCUCGCCGCCGCCACCAACACCAGGCGAUUCCGGCGAGUUCCGGCGGCCCUCGCCGGAGCGCAGCACACCCACGAGCUCCCCUCGUGACGGUGCUUCCUUUCCUCCGGCUAGAUCUGCUCCUCACGGCCGCAAGCGCUCGCGCGCGACCCAUCCCCGCUGCUAGGGCUUCGGCUGCCCCCAACUCUGGUGAGCCACCCUCCUCCAUGGACGAGGACGACCACCACGGCCGCACAUGGUCGAGCUCACCGUCGUUUCCUCCGGUGCGGUGAUGGGCCAACGAGCUCCGCCUCCACGGCUCCUAGCUCGGCUUCUGUUCUCCAUGGACGAAUAUCAACUGGAAACAGCAAGCCAUCUCAAGGGAGGGGAUUUUCAAGUCACCCCACUUCCAAUCCAUGGAUGCUAUCCACAAGGACCAAGAUGAUGACGACCAGGAAGGAAGGAGCCCACGCCCGACCCCGACGACGGCGGUUUCAUUUGUGUGCCGGCGUCGACCACAACCUCCCUCUCUGUAAUAUGGUUGUGCUUUAUUUUAAUCAAAAGAAGUUCAUCCUCAAUUCACUCUGCUUAUAUCAUAAUUCAGUACCGACUCUUUCGGUCUUUCCUGCCUCCUAGCAUGCUUUUACUCUGCAUCUGCCACGUGAUACUUAUUGUUACUGUAAAAUAUGCUUGAAGCCAGUAACUGAUUACACUUUUAGUCACAUAUUCUCAAGGACCUCCAAGAAGUUGAGGUUCUGAAUAGGUUAUUAGUAUCUAACCCUGUUGAUAGCAAUUAGCUUUGUCCACUUACUGGGCUGUCUUUUUAGUGUUCUGAA
Long non-coding RNA from Triticum dicoccoides, 869 nucleotides. RefSeq lists it as uncharacterized. Lineage: Eukaryota; Viridiplantae; Streptophyta; Magnoliopsida; Poales; Poaceae. The record is from RefSeq and is a predicted model, not a curated record. The transcript is spliced from 3 exons.